CUGACCUCAAAUCAGGAGACC
Molecule: ribosomal RNA, 21 nt
Filed under: Entoloma pallidocarpum
Lineage: Eukaryota; Fungi; Basidiomycota; Agaricomycetes; Agaricales; Entolomataceae
Description: partial 28S ribosomal RNA
Source: RNAcentral